UGGGGAGUCGCCAAGUGGUAAGGCAGCGGCCUUUGGAGCCGCCAUUCGGAGGUUCGAAUCCUCCCUCCCCAG
Molecule: transfer RNA, 72 nt
Filed under: Acidobacteriota bacterium
Lineage: Bacteria; Pseudomonadati; Acidobacteriota
Also listed under: 2 other names
Description: tRNA-Gln
Rfam family: tRNA
About the family: Transfer RNA (tRNA) molecules are approximately 80 nucleotides in length.
Source: RNAcentral